Molecule: ribosomal RNA, 601 nt
Filed under: Streptomonospora sp. YIM M11290
Lineage: Bacteria; Bacillati; Actinomycetota; Actinomycetes; Streptosporangiales; Nocardiopsidaceae
Description: bacterial SSU rRNA
Rfam family: Bacterial small subunit ribosomal RNA
Source: RNAcentral
GGCCCUUCGGGGUACACGAGCGGCGAACGGGUGAGUAACACGUGAGUAACCUGCCCCUGACUCGGGGAUAAGCCGGGGAAACCCGGUCUAAUACCCGAUACGACACUGCGGUGCAUACCGCGGUGUGGAAAGUUUUUUCGGUUGGGGAGGGGCUCGCGGCCUAUCAGCUUGUUGGUGGGGUGAAGGCCUACCAAGGCGAUUACGGGUAGCCGGCCUGAGAGGGCGACCGGCCACACUGGGACUGAGACACGGCCCAGACUCCUACGGGAGGCAGCAGUGGGGAAUCUUGCGCAAUGGGCGGAAGCCUGACGCAGCGACGCCGCGUGGGGGAUGACGGCCUUCGGGUUGUAAACCUCUUUUACCACCGGCGCAGGCCCCGGUUUUUGCCGGGGUUGACGGUAGGUGGGGAAUAAGGACCGGCCAACUACGUGCCAGCAGCCGCGGUAAUACGUAGGGUCCGAGCGUUGUCCGGAAUUAUUGGGCGUAAAGAGCUCGUAGGUGGUGUGUCGCGUCUGCUGUGCAAGUCCGGGGCUUAACCCCGGUUUUGCAGUGGAUACGGGCAUGCUAGAGGUAGGUAGGGGAGACUGGAAUUCCUGGUGUA